RNAcentral lists this ribosomal RNA (253 nucleotides) under uncultured bacterium. RNAcentral's name for it is "partial 16S ribosomal RNA". It matches the Rfam family "Bacterial small subunit ribosomal RNA", at positions 524 to 776 of the family's 1533-position model. The record is from RNAcentral.
GACGUAGGGCGCGAGCGUUGUCCGGAUUUAUUGGGCGUAAAGAGCUCGUAGGCGGCUUGUCGCGUCGUCCGUGAAAACUCGGGGCUCAACCCCGAGCUUGCGGUCGAUACGGGCAGGCUCGAGUUCGGUAGGGGAGACUGGAAUUCCUGGUGUAGCGGUGAAAUGCGCAGAUAUCAGGAGGAACACCGGUGGCGAAGGCGGGUCUCUGGGCCGAUACUGACGCUGAGGAGCGAAAGCGUGGGGAGCGAACAGG